Molecule: long non-coding RNA, 459 nt
Organism: Papaver somniferum (opium poppy)
Lineage: Eukaryota; Viridiplantae; Streptophyta; Magnoliopsida; Ranunculales; Papaveraceae
Exons: 3
Source: RefSeq, a predicted model, not a curated record
UCUUCCUCUAAGAGGAGAUUUUAGUGGAGUUAACAUUGAUGAUUCUGCCGAUAAAGAUGAUUGAAUGGGAGUUUCAGAAAUCCCUAGAGCUGCAAAAUGGAGAUCUCUUUUUGGAGUUGACAAAGAUAGCAAUGUGGAUCUAUCAACCUGCAAGUUUUCCUUUCACAAACAACAUUCAAUUAAGGGAGAUUAGAGGAAUCAUUGGUGAUUUAUCUUGCUCAAGACAGUAACAUCACGUGGAUUGUGCAAGCACAUGGGAGGCGAGUGUACCAUCGAGAAGGCCUGGUUAGCAUGGAAACUACUCCAUGACAGAGUCUCAACUGAUGAUGCGAUGCGGGAUUCAGGGUAAUGCUUACGCGGAUAUCUUAGCUAAGCAUGGAGAUGGAGCUAUUAGUUCACCGGGGAUCCCCAACCUCCAAUGAUACAUCCUGCAAUGAAGGAAGCCAUAGAUGUUCUCCC